UACUGAUUUGCUUUAAUUUUUUAUGAGUUAAAUUAGAUAUUUUUAUAGAUAAUUGUGAGGUUUUAUUACUACAAUUGUGUACAUACUAAGAUAUUUUUUUAUGUGAGGUUACUUAUUAAACAAGAAUUAGAUACUCUUUUAUAUAUAACUUUACUUUUAUGUUCUCAGUUUUAACUGAAAGAAAUUGGCAGCUGAUUAUAUCCUACUAGGGGAGUGUGUAUUUUAAUAGAUGUUCCACUUAUUAUUUUACUACGAUUAAUUUGUUGGUGUAUAUCCGGUUUAGUUAUAUAAAAUAAAUGUUUUGUGUAUAAAGAAGUUUUUAAUCCAGGUCAAUAUGCUGCUUAUGUCGUAGUUAAUAUUCACUACAAUGUAAGUUUAUUAAGUGAAGUUCUUGGUAGUUUUGGGACUUAGUAGUAUUAUGAUAUUUUAAAUGGUUCAUGAGAAUAAGGUUUAAUUGGGGCACACAUCGCCCGUCAUCUUCGA
Molecule: ribosomal RNA, 483 nt
Filed under: Polystoma sp. OV-2015b
Lineage: Eukaryota; Metazoa; Platyhelminthes; Monogenea; Polystomatidea; Polystomatidae
Description: partial 12S ribosomal RNA
Source: RNAcentral